This 460-nucleotide ribosomal RNA is filed under the name uncultured bacterium. RNAcentral's name for it is "partial 16S ribosomal RNA". It matches the Rfam family "Bacterial small subunit ribosomal RNA", at positions 338 to 795 of the family's 1533-position model. The record is from RNAcentral.
CCUACGGGAGGCAGCAGUGAGGAAUAUUGGUCAAUGGACGAGAGUCUGAACCAGCCAAGUAGCGUGAAGGAUGACUGCCCUAUGGGUUGUAAACUUCUUUUAUAUGGGAAUAAAAUGUUCCACGUGUGGGAUUUUGUAUGUACCCUAUGAAUAAGGAUCGGCUAACUCCGUGCCAGCAGCCGCGGUAAUACGGAGGAUCCGAGCGUUAUCCGGAUUUAUUGGGUUUAAAGGGUGCGUAGGUGGAUUGUUAAGUCAGUUGUGAAAGUUUGCGGCUCAACCGUAGAAUUGCAGUUGAAACUGGCAGUCUUGAGUGCAGUAGAGGUAGGCGGAAUGCGUGGUGUAGCGGUGAAAUGCUUAGAUAUCACGAAGAACUCCGAUUGCGAAGGCAGUUCACUGGACUGCAACUGACACUGAGGCUCGAAAGUGUGGGUAUCAAACAGGAUUAGAUACCCCGGUAGUC